RNAcentral lists this long non-coding RNA (1156 nucleotides) under Homo sapiens (human). RNAcentral describes it as "HSALNT0137876". Lineage: Eukaryota; Metazoa; Chordata; Mammalia; Primates; Hominidae. The record is from RNAcentral.
UUUGCAUAUUGCCAAAAAGAGAACGGGGAGACAUAGUUUCAGGUUUGGGUAUACAGCAAGUCUUGAAGGCAUGCCCAUAGUGAGGACUUUGAUGAAUGGCUCACCACUUCUCCCACGACCCAUCCAAACCUGUAGUGUUAAGGAAGUGAGGUGCUAUUGCUCUUUUAGUAGGCUGGGACACCAGGCCACCACAAUUAUUAAAAAUGUAGGGUUAUUUCAGGAAGGUAGAACAUAUGCUGACCAUACGAAAUAUAUUUUUAGGCAGAUCUUAUCUGGAGAAUGUCGCUUUUGAUGAAGGAAACUAGGUAAAAAUUAUCUUGCUACUCAGAAGAAUUGUUUUAGGUAAGAUAGAUCAAUGGCAAAGAUACUUAAUUGGUUUAAUCACUUUGAAGUCUUGAGGAUGGCCACACAAAUCUGUCUUUCUGAGUAUGGAGAGGGAAAGACCUUGUCUCCUUCAUGUCCAUGUUCUUUUCUCAGUGCUGUUGUCAGGAGCUAGUUGCCACACUUCAAUACCCCCAGGCUCCAAACAGCAUAGGCGAGGGUGGGCUUAGGAUGUGGCUUGUUGCAUAUGUACUUGGUGAUUCCUCCUUGGGCUGGUUUCCUCGUCUACUGAUGGCAAAGUGAAUGUAUCUGUGCAUUGCCAAGUGGCCCUCCCACCCCUGCUCAACGUCUCGUCAUACAUUAUAAUGAGCAGCAACCUCAGCUCUAUGGGGGUAGCCUCAGAAUCUUCCUCCAAGCUAUGACUUUGCGAUGCAGGCAGAAGGACAGGGAAUUGUGUGUGCUUCCUUUUUACCUCUCUCUUUUACUCUCAGCAGACCACUCAAAUGAUGAUGAGCUGCCAAGCUAUAAAUCGUUGAAGAUUCUCUGGCCAGGGAAGCUAUGAAAAAGGAGAGAACUGGUAGGGAGAAAAGAUAGGAGAGCAACACACAUCUUUGCUUCAGGGAUCCAAGGAGGACCACCACAUGAUGAUUUGAAGCUGAACACACCUAUGUCUUGGCUUAUGUCUACACAUCAAGGAAUCAGCUGAGCAGGAAGACUGCCUUGAAGAAACAGAAUCUGCUAUAAGAAUACUAUCAGGAAAGAAUGGUCAAGUCAGGUGAAACCGCUGCUAUUGUAUGACUAGAGAGCUGUACAUUUGGGAGGCUGGUUGUCCAAG